Molecule: long non-coding RNA, 974 nt
Organism: Aegilops tauschii subsp. strangulata
Lineage: Eukaryota; Viridiplantae; Streptophyta; Magnoliopsida; Poales; Poaceae
Source: RefSeq, a predicted model, not a curated record
UUGAAUUUUUAACAUGGAAGGAGCAAUCAGAUGAACAGUUCAUAUUUGCAAAGUAGCAGAGUCUGUUAGACAUGUCUUUCUUUUUUGACCUCUACAUCAAAACUCAUAUAUCAAAGUAGCAGUCUGUUGGACAUAUAUGCCCUUAUGGACUGACUUUCUGUACACUAGGACUGUUGGAAUUUCACGUGAUCGGUUUGCAAUCAGACGAACAGUUGAUGUUAGCAUUAUUAAGAUGUAAGCAGCAAGGCCAGUUUACAAGUAUUUGCUAAUAACCUAAGGCUGUUGGACAUGUCUUUCUUUUUUUUAUAGUUACAUAUGGGGAAUCCACACAGCAAGCCAACGGAGCAGACGACAUCGUCACAUGUACCUCCAGGUACAUGUCCAACUAUAAAUUGUGCUGUACAUGUCAAGCACCAUCACAGGAGACUGAAUGUGUUGCAGACCCGAUGGAUGGGACAAAUGUUGACGACUAUAACCCAGAUAUUAUACCCGUAGGCAACGAAGUUGACAAUAUUUACCCAAGUAGUCCAGGUUUUAAGGCUGUGCAAAUAUACAUAGCUUAAUUCUAUGUGUUUUAUGUGAUCAAUCAUACCUAACAGACUUGUGACUUGUAGGAGUCCAUAUUACUCCAUCUGAACGGAUCAUACUUGAACAGACCGAUGGUGAUAGCACAUAUGUGCAUCAACCUUCCCAUCUGAUUUCGGACAACCCUCCGAUCUCAUUCCUAUAUAAUGGAGAUUCGUUGCCGGCUCCCAGUAAUCUGACACGAAAUUAUGCGACAGAUGUACCACAAAGUUCAAAUGGUAUUACCUCAUACAUCUUGGACACGAACGCUUCUUCUGCACCGGAGAAGGAGGCACAGGUUCAUCUUUGAUCCCUGGACACAAACGCUUCGUUCCUGCAAGUAAGUAGAAUGUGUUUUCAGCUCGCUCCUACACAACUUGAGGCCUUGCACGUCUGAGUGGGGCGCCCAG